AGCUGCACUAAAGAGGAAGUGAGGUAACAGUUAGAGAAUAGGAGGAGGAAGUGAUGUUUAGAAAGUUCCUUUUGCCCAUGGCUUCAUAGAGGGAGCAUCACAGUGUACAAAUCCGCUUAAUCCUGUGCCUUAAAGUCCACAAACCGGCUUCAUCCUUUUACAAAAUAAGUGAUAUUUUCCUUAAUUAAAUCCUGCCAAACACAA
This is a long non-coding RNA of Sander lucioperca (pikeperch), 204 nucleotides long. RefSeq lists it as uncharacterized. The transcript has 2 exons. NCBI's taxonomy places the organism in Eukaryota, Metazoa, Chordata, Actinopteri, Perciformes, Percidae. The record is from RefSeq and is a predicted model, not a curated record.